Molecule: ribosomal RNA, 496 nt
Filed under: uncultured bacterium
Lineage: Bacteria
Description: partial 16S ribosomal RNA
Rfam family: Bacterial small subunit ribosomal RNA
Source: RNAcentral
GAUGAACGCUGGCGGCGUGCCUAAUACAUGCAAGUCGAGCGAACGGACGAGAAGCUUGCUUCUCUGAUGUUAGCGGCGGACGGGUGAGUAACACGUGGAUAACCUACCUAUAAGACUGGGAUAACUUCGGGAAACCGGAGCUAAUACCGGAUAAUAUUUUGAACCGCAUGGUUCAAAAGUGAAAGACGGUCUUGCUGUCACUUAUAGAUGGAUCCGCGCUUCAUUAGCUAGUUGGUAAGGUAACGGCUGACCAAGGCAACGAUGCAUAGCCGACCUGAGAGGGUGAUCGGCCACACUGGAACUGAGACACGGUCCAGACUCCUACGGGAGGCAGCAGUAGGGAAUCUUCCGCAAUGGGCGAAAGCCUGACGGAGCAACGCCGCGUGAGUGAUGAAGGUCUUCGGAUCGUAAAACUCUGUUAUUAGGGAAGAACAUAUGUGUAAGUAACUGUGCACAUCUUGACGGUACCUAAUCAGAAAGCCACGGCUAACUACGU